GGUCCGAUGGCGGAGUGGUUACGCAACGGUCUGCAAAACCGUGUACGCCGGUUCAAUUCCGGCUCGGACCU
Molecule: transfer RNA, 71 nt
Filed under: Candidatus Moraniibacteriota bacterium
Lineage: Bacteria; Candidatus Moraniibacteriota
Also listed under: 1 other name
Description: tRNA-Cys
Rfam family: tRNA
About the family: Transfer RNA (tRNA) molecules are approximately 80 nucleotides in length. Their secondary structure includes four short double-helical elements and three loops (D, anti-codon, and T loops).
Source: RNAcentral